CACAGUAGUUGAAAUGUUGUUGCAGCCAUGCCUGUUAAGUCCUCGGUGAGCCUCGUCAAGCGCUCGUUGGAAGUUUUAGUGAAACAAUAUUUAUGAAGACAUCCUAACAUCUUAUGCUUGUGU
Long non-coding RNA from Sinocyclocheilus rhinocerous, 123 nucleotides. RefSeq lists it as uncharacterized. Lineage: Eukaryota; Metazoa; Chordata; Actinopteri; Cypriniformes; Cyprinidae. The record is from RefSeq and is a predicted model, not a curated record. The transcript has 3 exons.